AUUGAACGCUGGCGGCAGGCCUAACACAUGCAAGUCGGGCGAAUCUAGCUUGCUAGAUGAGCGGCGAACGGGUGAGUAACGCGUAGGAAUCUGCCUGGUAGUGGGGGACAACGUUCCGAAAGGGACGCUAAUACCGCAUACGCCCUACGGGGGAAAGCUGGGGACCUUCGGGCCUAGCGCUAUCAGAUGAGCCUGCGUCGGAUUAGCUAGUUGGUGGGGUAAAGGCCCACCAAGGCGACGAUCCGUAACUGGUCUGAGAGGAUGAUCAGUCACACCGGAACUGAGACACGGUCCGGACUCCUACGGGAGGCAGCAGUGGGGAAUAUUGGACAAUGGGGGCAACCCUGAUCCAGCCAUGCCGCGUGUGUGAAGAAGGCCUUCGGGUUGUAAAGCACUUUAGGUCGGGAGGAAGGUUCGCUGGCUAAUAUCCAGCGGAAUUGACGUUACCGACAGAAUAAGCACCGGCUAACUCCGUGCCAGCCGCCGCCGUAA
This 492-nucleotide ribosomal RNA is filed under the name uncultured bacterium. Its description in RNAcentral is "partial 16S ribosomal RNA". It matches the Rfam family "Bacterial small subunit ribosomal RNA", at positions 30 to 523 of the family's 1533-position model. The record is from RNAcentral.